Long non-coding RNA from Dermochelys coriacea (leatherback sea turtle), 3904 nucleotides. RefSeq lists it as uncharacterized. Lineage: Eukaryota; Metazoa; Chordata; Testudines; Dermochelyidae. The record is from RefSeq and is a predicted model, not a curated record. The transcript is spliced from 2 exons.
CACAUCUGCAACCCUGAAACGUGUCAUAAUGAAGAGAGGAGCCCUGUGUGGAUCAUUCUAUCAAUAACUGGCUCUGGGAAGGCACCCAGGGGCUGUCCUGCUGGGCUGAGACUUGCCUCAUCAUCACUGUCUCUUUACAGCCAGCCAUGCAAACACACAGCAAACCCCAUGUUCCAUGGUGAUGCCUUAAUAGGGCAGCUCAGGCCUGCAUUGGGAUGCCCAGAAAGGCACCAAACUAUCCAGACAUGCUGCAGUGAUGAGUGGGGUUUAUAAGUGGGCCUCAGCCCCACAACAUGACCAACAGUACUAAAAGUCUGAGCCAUAACAAAAUCAGCCCCCCAUGGGCUGUCCCAUUGCCUCGCUCCUGCCUGUGACUCUGCCCAGCCAGGGCCCAUAGCUGCAAAUAUUAGCAGCAACGCAUCCAGUUAGCUCAGCCUCCUCAGAACCAGCUGCAGCCUGGCGCUUGGUCUUUUCGAAACAGCGGGUGGCAAAGCAACUCUUCCUGGAGGUAAAUUACUGUCUCUAGCUCUGCUGCAGGCUGAGCUCCUUUGUGUACAGUCGGAGCCUUAGGAGCCCCAGGGGGGCUGCGUUUGGACCCUCCUCCCCAGUUUGAACCUUUGCUCUCCACCCCCACCCCUCCUUUUUAUUCUUUUAAACUCUGCUGUGAAAAGCUAUAGCUCAAUCUGAUCAGGCAUCUUCACUCUUGUCCUGGGCAUGGCUCCUGUCCUCCGGCUGGGAGAGGAGGGAAAUACUGUGGGGGUUUCAGAGUCGCAGCCGUGUUAGUCUGUAUUUGCAAAAAGAAAAGGAGGACUUGUGGCACCUUAGAGACUCACAAAUUUAUUUGAGCAUAAGCUUUCGUGAGCUACAGCUCGCUUCAUCGGAUGUAUUCAGUGGAAAAUACAGUGGGGGUUGGGGAACGAGAUCUGGGCUGGUCCUUGUCUCUGCAAUUACAGCCACCGUGCCUCCCUCCCUCACUGCAGCAGCAUCUGUGGCUCAGGCUCUCCCUCCCCUGCUGCCCAAACAGGCAGCCUGUGCCCCUGCCUCCGUCACAUCCACCAUGCUGGAUAUUUUCAUCUUAAUGUUUUUUGCCAUCAUCGGCCUGGUGAUCCUCUCCUACAUCAUCUACCUGCUCUAGGAGCCCCAACAGCAGUGCAGGGGAAGGAUGAAGCGCUGCAGCCAGCCAUCCUGCCAGUCAAAGUAUCGUCCAGCUCUCAGGCCUGGGUCAGAGAAGUAUCACCUUUUCCUCAGCAGCAGCAGCCAUGCCAGAGCCAUCAGGAGAAAGAGUUAACCCUUUGCAAGCAACCCACUUCCUGAGCAGCUGGAGAGAGGAAAACCCCAGGAAGAGCAUCCAUUGGACAAUGCAGAUGUCAAGACUUAUAAAUGCCCUUGACAGGAUGUCUGAGCUGUAAUGCAUUUGAAGAGCAAAUACAAAGCAACCUGGCCUCAAGAAUGGACAGAGAGAGAGAGAGAGAGUGAUAAUGAAACCUCACUAUGGAGAAGUGUGUUGUUUUGUUUGCCAUGCUGGUAUUAAGGAAAUGUAACUUCAUUGUUCCAUGGCCACAUAGAUAUUCCCCCUUCUUGAGAAAAGUACCUGCUGGUUUUUAGUUUUAGAAAGUGUAUAUAUAUUUUAAUUUAAAAAAUUAGAAAAAAUUAAAAAAGCAACACAAAAUGAGAGCAAAAUCUGAAUAUCACAAUAGUAUUUUAUGCAGACAUGUCACCUUUCAUUUUAACUGAUCACCCACUGCUUAUCACUGGGCAUUGCUAAAAUGCAGCCAUUUCUGGGGUGGAGGGUGGCAAUUAGCUAGAAUACUUCAGGAAUGGCAGCAGGAAUUUUGGACUAUAAAGGAAAAUCCCUAUGCAUAAGAAAGAUACAAGGGACCUUUUGGCCCAAUUCAUCAAGACAGAUGGUGAUAAGCCUGUGUUUGAAAAAUGCUUUUAAACACAUUUCUGCCACUAAUCUGAGUGCCCAGCUUGUAUGGAGGGGGGCAACAACCGGAACACAGAUUAGUCUCAGAAACUGCUAGAUAGCUAGCAACUCGUACUCCAAGCCUGUUCGGGGAGAGGUGAAUGAUACCACGUGCCCAUCUGUUUUGAUGGAGGUGGGGGCCCCAUAGCUCCAAAUAAAGCCACUGGGAGGUGUGGGUGCUAAACCCCCUCGCCCAAGGUGAGUUGUGUAUCCAAACCACCUACUGCACCCAGCCAGGAGUUAGAUCAAUGGGAGGUCAGAGCUUAAUUUAUCAUUGCUUGGAGAGGUUUGAGUGAGAGGCUCUGGGGCCUUUUGAAAAAUUUCCCUGUAGGCCAAUGUGAUCCUGAAUCAAGCCACUGCCUCUGUGUAUUAUCCCCCUUACACAGCCUUCCAGUGUGCAGGACCAGGAAGGGUCUGGAGUGGGGAAUGGGUGGGAAAGAAAAAAGAGGCCAAAACACCAGGGCCAAGAUUUUAAAAAGUGGGCACUUUUGGUGCUCAUCUUGGACAGUCCAUAUUCGUGGCCACUUCCACAAAUCUUAGCCCACUCCCAGUGCUUGAAUUAUAAGAAAAAAAUGCCCGUAGGCCCUAAUCUUUUGUUGACUCAGUAGCAGUGAGCAGUGCAGGCAUAAAGCACUGGCCUGACCGCUGAAGUCAUGUUUAAUUCUUCCUCACCCUCCAGACACUUUUUAUUUUGGACAAAUGCAAACAGUUUUCUGGAGUUAAAAAUGGAAUGAACAACAACAUGAAAGGCUCAGUCAUCCACUGCUGUGUAAUAAGCAUCACAUGUAAUGUUUAUUUCAGAUUGUAUUGUAUAAUGAAAACAACUCUCCUAGAAGGUAAAAUUUUUGUAUGGGUGAUCUCCCUCUGCAGUUAAUUCUUGCUGGGAAGCAAUACACCCCUGGAAAUAGAAGUUUUGUAAUGGAAAAAAUCUUGAUGCAUCCUUAACUCACAUGAAUCAUAGAAUAUCAGGAUUGGAAGGGACCUCAGGAGGUCAUCUAGUCCACCCCCUGCUCAAAGCAGGACCAAUCCCCAACUAAAUCAUCCCCGCCAGGACUUUGUCAAGCCUGACCUUAAAAACUUCUAAGGAAGGAGAUUCCACCACCUCCUUAGAUAAUGCAUUCCAGUGUCUCACCAUCCUCCUAGUGAAAAAGUUUUUCCUAAUAUCCAACCUAGACCUCCCCCACUACAACUUGAGACCAUUACCCCCUCAUUCUGUCAUCUGCUACUAUUGAGAACAGUCUAGAUCCAUCGUCUUUGGAACCCCCUUUCAGGUAGUUGAAAGCAGCUAUCAAAUCCCCCCUCAUUCUUCUCUUCCGCAGACUAAACAAUCCCAGUUGCCUCAGCUUCUCCUCAUAAGUCAUGUGUUCCAGUCCCCUAAUCAUUUUUGUUGCCUUCCACGAUGUUUUCCAAUUUUUCCACAUCCUUCUUGAAGUGUGGGGCCCAAAACUGGACACAGUACUCCAGAUGAGGCAUCAUUAUCAUUAGGAGGAAAUUUACUCUGAAUUGUAGUGUUUGUGACUUAUAUAAGCACUUUUGGGGUACAAGUGGCAAGAAUUAUUUGAAAUCUGUUGAUAAGACUUUCUACAAAAAAAAUGUUUACAUAAAGAUGGGAAUUAUGGUUAUCAUUGCCAGCUGAGUACUUGACAUAGUACAAUUUCCUGUCAGUACAAAAUUUCCUGAGGGAGAAGUACAGUGCAUAUAUCUUUGCCUGUGGAUCCAAAUUGAUGUUCUCCAGUGCAUCUGCUUCAGCCCAAAUUGUGUUACACAGCAUGCCCUGCCAGGGCCCAAUUUUGGGUCACAGUCAGGGCUUUAAAAAGGGUGAGACCCCCAAAAUGAGGAACCUAACCUUCUCUCCUCCCCCACAAAACAGUUAAAAUGGAAACUCUAAAUGUUAUGGGAAGCAACUCUUGAAUAUAAAUAAAAUGUUCAAUAACCUCA